AGAGGGUCCAGGCUGGUCUGUGUGUAUCUGCGAGAAGGGUGGGAGGCACCAGGAUUGGUUUUUCUCUGGCUACUUAAGGGUUAAUUCCUGCCGGGCCUCCCAGUGUCCCUCCACGUCCCCUCUUGAACUUUCCCCUCUCCGGGCUUUGACCAGAACACCCUAAACCGCCUUACACUCUGCACCGCUCACAUGGCUUGUCUGAGCCCCCCACAGCUCCAGAAGUUCCAGGAAGAUGGAUUCCUGGUGCUGGAAGGGUUCCUGUCUGCAGAUGAGUGUGCAGCCAUGCGACAGAGGAUUGGCGAGAUAGUGGCUGAGAUGAAUGUCCCUGCUCACUGCCGCACGGAAUUUUCUACCCAGGAGGAGGAGCAGAUACGAGCCCAGGGCAGCACAGACUACUUCCUCAGUAGUGGAGACAAGAUUCGGUUCUUCUUUGAGAAAGGCGUUUUUGACCAGAAAGUUCCCUGUGCCACAGGAAAUUUCCUGGUGUCUCCAGAGAAAUCCAUCAACAAAAUUGGCCAUGCUCUGCACGCCCAUGACCCUGUCUUCAAGUGUAUCACACACUCCCCCAAGAUGCAGGGCCUGGUCAGAAGCCUGGGCUUCCAGAUACCUGUGGUGGUUCAGAGCAUGUACAUCUUUAAGCAGCCUCAUUUUGGUGGUGAAGUCUCCCCUCACCAAGAUGCCUCCUUCCUAUACACGGAGCCUCUGGGCCGGCUGCUGGGUGUGUGGCUUGCAUUGGAGGAUGCCACGAACCAGAAUGGCUGCCUCUGGUUCAUCCCUGGAUCCCAUACUGGUGGUGUGUCCAGAAGGAUGGUCCGGAACCCUGCUGGCUCAGUGCCAGGCACUAGCUUUCUGGGGUCAGAGCCAAUCCGGGAUAACAGCCUCUUUGUGCCUGCACCGGUGCCAAGAGAGAGAGAGAAAGCAUAUGUCCCCAUCAGGGUCACUGGUCCUAAUCCAUGGAGAAGUGGUUCAUAAGAGCGAGCAGAACCUCUCUGACCACUCACGCCAGGCGUACACUUUCCACAUCAUGGAGGCAGCUGGCACCACCUGGAGCCCAGAUAACUGGCUGCAGCCAACAGCCGAGCUGCCCUUCCCACCACUGUACACCUAAAGGCCCUGGCUUCACCUGAUAGCCCAGCUACAACAGCAAGUUGCAUCUCUCUCUUGAGCUUUCCUCCUGCUGGGGUCUGUGCCCCAGGACCCUGCAGACAGGCAGCAGGAGCCUGGAGAGUGAUUUCCCAAGGCUUCUGUCUCCACACAGUCCCCAUGCAACUUCCUCCUGGAGGCAGCCUCUCAGCAGUGAAGGAGUUCCAGAGUCCAGGAAUCUGACCAACUUCUGACUUUUCUCUUAUUAUGGUGCAAGAUGAAUAAAAACAACUUCUGAAAGCA
Erinaceus europaeus (western European hedgehog) is the source of this 1386-nucleotide RNA transcript. It is a transcript of the gene named phytanoyl-CoA dioxygenase domain containing 1, with no coding region annotated. NCBI's taxonomy places the organism in Eukaryota, Metazoa, Chordata, Mammalia, Eulipotyphla, Erinaceidae. The transcript is spliced from 11 exons. The record is from RefSeq and is a predicted model, not a curated record.